RNAcentral lists this ribosomal RNA (301 nucleotides) under uncultured bacterium. RNAcentral describes it as "partial 16S ribosomal RNA". It matches the Rfam family "Bacterial small subunit ribosomal RNA", at positions 509 to 807 of the family's 1533-position model. The record is from RNAcentral.
CAGUAGCCGCGGUAAUACGGAGGAUCCAAGCGUUAUCCGGAAUCAUUGGGUUUAAAGGGUCCGUAGGCGGUUUAGUAAGUCAGUGGUGAAAGCCCAUCGCUCAACGGUGGAACGGCCAUUGAUACUGCUGAACUUGAAUUAUUAGGAAGUAACUAGAAUAUGUAGUGUAGCGGUGAAAUGCUUAGAGAUUACAUGGAAUACCAAUUGCGAAGGCAGGUUACUACUAAUUGAUUGACGCUGAUGGACGAAAGCGUGGGGAGCGAACAGGAUUAGAUACCCGUGUAGUCCCUGUCUCUUAUAC